Bradysia coprophila is the source of this 221-nucleotide long non-coding RNA. NCBI's taxonomy places the organism in Eukaryota, Metazoa, Arthropoda, Insecta, Diptera, Sciaridae. The record is from RefSeq and is a predicted model, not a curated record.
AACAGUUUGUAAACCAAAGGUUUGUAAGGAAUCAGCAACAGCUGAACUUCACCAGCUGAUCAAAAAACACACUCUACUUGGAUAAUAUACAAUCAAAACACAUUCUAAACAACGAGUUUACUCCAGUCAUACGUGUUACGUGCGCACAUAGAUGAUCUUAACGUAUGUAUGCACUGUAUGUAGCUUGACUUUGAAUUGUUUUUCAUACAAAGGUAUUGUCU